AGGGUUUGAUCAUGGCUCAGGACGAACGCUGGCGGCGUGCUUAACACAUGCAAGUCGAACGGUGACGAUCAAGCUUGCUUGGUCUGAUCAGUGGCGAACGGGUGAGUAACACGUGAGUAACCUGCCCCAGACUCUGGGAUAACCCCGGGAAACCGGAGCUAAUACCGGAUAUGACACGCCCCUGCAUGGGGAGUGUGUGGAAAGUUUUUCGGUCUGGGAUGGACUCGCGGCCUAUCAGCUUGUUGGUGAGGUAAUGGCUCACCAAGGCGACGACGGGUAGCCGGCCUGAGAGGGCGACCGGCCACACUGGGACUGAGAGACGGCCCAGACUCCUACGGGAGGCAGCAGUGGGGAAUAUUGCACAAUGGGCGAAAGCCUGAUGCAGCGACGCCGCGUGAGGGAUGACGGCCUUCGGGUUGUAAACCUCUUUCAGCAGGGAAGAAGCGCAAGUGACGGUACCUGCAGAAGAAGCACCGGCUAACUACGUGCCAGCAGCCGCGGUAAUACGUAGGGUGCGAGCGUUGUCCGGAAUUAUUGGGCGUAAAGAGCUUGUAGGUGGUUUGUCGCGUCUGCUGUGAAAAUCCGAGGCUCAACCUCGGACUUGCAGUGGGUACGGGCAGACUAGAGUGUGGUAGGGGAGACUGGAAUUCCUGGUGUAGCGGUGGAAUGCGCAGAUAUCAUGAGGAACACCGAUGGCGAAAGCAGGUCUCUGGGCCAUUACUGACACUGAGAAGCGAAAGCAUGGGGAGCGAACAGGAUUAGAUACCCUGGUAGUCCAUGCCGUAAAC
Molecule: ribosomal RNA, 788 nt
Filed under: uncultured Actinobacteridae bacterium
Lineage: Bacteria; Bacillati; Actinomycetota; Actinomycetes
Description: bacterial SSU rRNA
Rfam family: Bacterial small subunit ribosomal RNA
Source: RNAcentral